UGCGCCUUGCCAGCCCGCUCAGAAACUUCAAGGAAUGGACGGGGACCCGCACAAGCGGUGGAGCAUGUGGUUUAAUUCGAAGCAACGCGAAGAACCUUACCAAGUCUUGACAUCGGAAUGACCGUCCCGUAACUGGGGCUUCCCUUCGGGGCAUUCCAGACAGGUGGCGCAUGGUUGUCGUCAGCUCGUGUCGUGAGAUGUUGGGUUAAGUCCCGCAACGAGCGCAACCCUUAUCCUUAGUAGCCAGCAGUUCGGCUGGGCACUCUGGGGAGACUGCCAGGGAUAACCUGGAGGAAGGUGGGGAUGACGUCAAAUCAUCAUGCCCCUUAUGAUUUGGGCUACACACGUGCUACAAUGGCGUAAACAAAGGGAAGCAAAGGAGUGAUCCGGAGCAAAUCUCAAAAAUAACGUCUCAGUUCGGAUUGUAGUCUGCAACUCGACUACAUGAAGCUGGAAUCGCUAGUAAUCGCGGAUCAGAAUGCCGCGGUGAAUACGUUCCCGGGUCUU
This 507-nucleotide ribosomal RNA is filed under the name uncultured Lachnospiraceae bacterium. Its description in RNAcentral is "bacterial SSU rRNA". It matches the Rfam family "Bacterial small subunit ribosomal RNA", at positions 904 to 1382 of the family's 1533-position model. The record is from RNAcentral. Lineage: Bacteria; Bacillati; Bacillota; Clostridia; Lachnospirales; Lachnospiraceae.